This is a ribosomal RNA of Ipomoea nil (Japanese morning glory), 116 nucleotides long. NCBI's taxonomy places the organism in Eukaryota, Viridiplantae, Streptophyta, Magnoliopsida, Solanales, Convolvulaceae. The record is from Rfam.
GGAUGCGAUCAUACCAGCACUAAUGCACCGGAUCCCAUCAGAACUCCGAAGUUAAGCGUGCUUGGGCGAGAGUAGUACUAGGAUGGGUGACCCUGGAAGUCCUCGUGUUGCAUCCC